Molecule: long non-coding RNA, 362 nt
Filed under: Homo sapiens (human)
Lineage: Eukaryota; Metazoa; Chordata; Mammalia; Primates; Hominidae
Description: non-protein coding lnc-ATIC-12:1
Source: RNAcentral
CCCGAGUAGCUGGGACUACAGGUGCCCGCCACCAUGCCUGGCUAAUUUUUUGUAUUUUUUAGUAGAGACGGGGCAUUUCCCCUACUUUUAACAGAGUGUACAAAAAUUUCACCAAGAUACACAUUAGAGACUGGCCAGUUUAAUCAUUCCUCAGUUAGCGUAUGCUCCCCUUAAUGACUGGCAGUAUUUUUACUUUGAAUUAUCCUUGUGCAAAAUAAAAGUAAUAUAUCUGCUUUUUUUUCUAAUAAUGUUUUGGUCCAACACAUCUAUAUUUUGAUCAUGCAGCAAUUUUCUAAAUUAAAGUUGACAACCCUCUUUAGUUUCUGCUUAUAAACUUUUAUGUGAUAGAUCUGAAAAAAAUC